Molecule: long non-coding RNA, 347 nt
Organism: Anopheles stephensi (Asian malaria mosquito)
Lineage: Eukaryota; Metazoa; Arthropoda; Insecta; Diptera; Culicidae
Exons: 2
Source: RefSeq, a predicted model, not a curated record
GGAGCGGAAGGAUGGGGAAAGGGGGGUGGCAGGAAAUCGCAUAAUAAAUCGUAGCUUUUUGCAAAGCUCUCUCUCUCUCUCUCUCGCUCCUUCUCGUCCCGCUGUUAACGCUUCAACAUUUCCUUGGUUCUUUUAAAUAAAAUGCUCAUCCCUAACCGACUGUGUCCCAGGUCUUGCAUCCCGUUCUAGAACUUCCCAAAGGUCCUCUUUUGUUCCGUCCAUUUCGACUAGGCGCGAUGCGCGUCUUCAGACUUCAUUCAUUGAUAUUUGCCAAACGAGACACAUGCAGCAGUGGGCAGCAGCGUGCGCGUAACAACGGAAUCGUAGCAAAAGAAUAAAAGCAAAAA